RNAcentral lists this RNase P RNA (324 nucleotides) under human gut metagenome. RNAcentral's name for it is "Bacterial RNase P class A". It matches the Rfam family "Bacterial RNase P class A". Rfam says of the family: Ribonuclease P (RNase P) is a ubiquitous endoribonuclease, found in archaea, bacteria and eukarya as well as chloroplasts and mitochondria. The record is from RNAcentral.
GCGGGCCGAAUGACCGCGGUGAAAAUACGAGGAAAGUCCGAGCUCCGCAGGACAGGAUGCCGGAUAACAUCCGGUGGAGGCGACUCCAAGGAAAGUGCAACAGAGAUAUACCGCCUGCCUUUGCAGGUAAGGGUGGAAAGGCGAGGUAAGAGCUCACCGGCUGCUUGGCGACUUGCAGGCCCUGUAAACCCCAUCCGGAGCAAGAUUGAUAGCGAAGCAUUAACGGUUGUCCGCCGGCUUCCAGGUAAUCGCUUAAGCCCGUUCGGCAACGGCGGGAAUAGAUAGAUGGUCAUUCACGACAGAACUCGGCUUACAGGCCCGUCU